GACGAACGCUGGCGGCGUGCUUAACACAUGCAAGUCGAACGGAACGGCCCUGCUUAUGUGGGGUGCUCUAGUGGCGAACGGGUGAGUAACACGUGAGUAACGUGCCCCUGACUUUGGGAUGACUUCAGGAAACUGGGGCUAAUCCCGGAUAGGAGCUCCCGCCUCUUGGUGGGGGCGGGAAAGUUUCGUCGGUUGGGGAUGGACUCGCGUAGGAUCGGCUUGUUGGUAGGGUAGUGUCCUAGCAAGGCUAUGAUCCAUAGCUGUUCUGAGAGGGGGAUCAGCCACACUGGGACUGAGACACGGACCAGACUCGUACGGGAGGCAGCGGUGGGGAAUAUUGGGCAAUGGGGGAAAGCCUGAUAAAGCAAUGCCGGGUGAGUGAUGAAGGCCUUAGGGUUGUAAAGCUCUUUUACCCGGGAUGAUAAUGACAGUACCGGGAGAAUAAGCUCCGGCUAACUCCGUG
This 463-nucleotide ribosomal RNA is filed under the name uncultured bacterium. RNAcentral's name for it is "partial 16S ribosomal RNA". It matches the Rfam family "Bacterial small subunit ribosomal RNA", at positions 28 to 507 of the family's 1533-position model. The record is from RNAcentral.